RNAcentral lists this ribosomal RNA (252 nucleotides) under uncultured bacterium. RNAcentral describes it as "partial 16S ribosomal RNA". It matches the Rfam family "Bacterial small subunit ribosomal RNA", at positions 524 to 776 of the family's 1533-position model. The record is from RNAcentral.
UACGGGGGAGCAAGCGUUGUUCGGAUUUACUGGGCGUAAGGGGCGCGUAGGCGGCGUGAUAAGUCACUUGUGAAAUCUCCGGGCUCAACUCGGAACGGCCAAGUGAUACUGUCGUGCUAGAGUGUGGAAGGGGCUACUGGAACUCUUGGUGUAGCGGUGAAAUGCGUAGAUAUCAAGAGGAACACCUGCGGCGAAGGCGGGUAGCUGGGCCAACACUGACGCUGAAGCGCGAAAGCUAGGGGAGCGAACGGG